GACGAACGCUGGCGGCGUGCUUAACACAUGCAAGUCGAACGGAAAGGCCCUGCUUUUGUGGGGUGCUCGCGUGGCGAACGGGUGAGUAACACGUGAGUAACCUGCCCUUGACUUUGGGAUAACUUCAGGAAACUGGGGCUAAUACCGGAUAGGAGCUCCUGCUGCAUGGUGGGGGUUGGAAAGUUUCGGCGGUUGGGGAUGGACUCGCGGCUUAUCAGCUUGUUGGUGGGGUAGUGGCUUACCAAGGCUUUGACGGGUAGCCGGCCUGAGAGGGUGACCGGCCACAAUGGGACUGAGAUACGGCCCAGACUCCUACGGGAGGCAGCGGUGGGGAAUAUUGCACAAUGGGCGGAAGCCUGAUGCAGCAGCGCCGCGUGCGGGAUGACGGCCUACGGGUUGUAAACCGCUGUCGCCUGUGACGAAGCGUGAGUGACGGUAAUGGGUGAAGAAGCACCGGCUAACUACGUG
This 468-nucleotide ribosomal RNA is filed under the name uncultured bacterium. RNAcentral's name for it is "partial 16S ribosomal RNA". It matches the Rfam family "Bacterial small subunit ribosomal RNA", at positions 28 to 507 of the family's 1533-position model. The record is from RNAcentral.